AAACCAUGAUGUGGAUAAUGCCUUUGCAACUCUUUAAAUUUCUCCCAUGCGACGUACAAUGUUUCUUCUUUUGCUUAUUUUAAUGUUGAAAUUUCAUUUCGCAACUU
Molecule: small nucleolar RNA, 107 nt
Organism: Mercurialis annua (annual mercury)
Lineage: Eukaryota; Viridiplantae; Streptophyta; Magnoliopsida; Malpighiales; Euphorbiaceae
Source: RefSeq, a predicted model, not a curated record